Molecule: long non-coding RNA, 2158 nt
Filed under: Callithrix jacchus (white-tufted-ear marmoset)
Lineage: Eukaryota; Metazoa; Chordata; Mammalia; Primates; Cebidae
Description: lncRNA (ENSCJAG00000076331.1)
Source: RNAcentral
CUAAAAUUCUAAAAAUGCCUUCUUCCUUAAAAUUCAUAGUAAAUUUUAUAAUAUAUGUUUACAUCACAGCCGAUUUGAGAUUGGUCAAUAUUCUUUUCUCUUUUCGGUAGGGAAAAGGAAAGAAAACCUAAGCUGAACAAAUUAAGCCAAAUUUUAUACUUUGAUGAGAUGUGGCUGGUGCCUAUGUAUAUGGCCAACUUAGAACAAAUGGAGUGGGUAGAGGCAGUGUUAGCAUUUUAAUCAGCUGAAAAGUCCUAUUUGAACAAAUCCUUCAGCUCCCGAGCUUCAGGCUGUCAGCACAGUCAAGCUAUAAAAGAAAAUAUUCUCGGCCGGACAUUGUGGCUCACGCCUGUAAUCCAAGCACUUUGGAGGCCAAGGUGGGCCUCCUAUCUAUCCUGACUCUUCUGGACAAAGGCUUCAUCCCUGGUAAGUACUGUUACAGACAGACUAUUCUAAGCAAGGGGAGGGAACUUAAAUUAAGUAGCAUGAUGGAGACAGUGCUUUUUUUAAAUCUCCAGUUGUGAAAUCGGUGUAAUAUGGCAUGACCAGCAUAGAAUGCGAUAGAACAGAACAGACUGAAAAAGGAUCCAAAGCAUCAGAACGAUAGCAUGUCAUGGCCAAAGGUAAUCAAUGGAGAAGCCAUGAUUUUCAUUUGGAUUUCAGCCAAAGCACUUGCCUUGUAAUUCAUCCUCUCAGAAAUUUUUGCUGCCUGCAGGCAGUAAACAGUCCUCAGAGGAAAAAGUGCUCAUGGAGGGAGAGGCAGGCUUGGAAGCUCACUGUGGAAACUCCAGAGUGCUAACAGUAGAGGCUGAAGAGUUACAAGGCACAGCUAAGACCACCUAAGAUGCUAUCUAGGAGCCCCACUACUGCAACAAAUUUUUGUUGUCGUGGCGAGUUUUAGAUACUAGUUUCUGAAGAGGAACUUGUACAGCGAAAAAUGUCCAGUAUAGAGAAAUUUCAGUGUAUUUUGCAUUUCAAAUGUCCUGUUUCUAUUUAAAAAGUGGGUAAUCUCCGGAAAUGUGUGUGAUAAAUAACCCAACAAUGACGACUCUCUCUCCCUGCCAAAUGCCACACUAACAAUGAAACCAUUGAUUUGCUCCUGGAAAAAAUAUGCUUUGUUCACCUGGACAAGAAACAAACUGACUACAAAAUGUAUUUUUACAUGACAGUGUUGGAAAAUCCAGUGAUUACUGCUCAAGGUCAAAACUUGUUAUAACAAGCUCUAAGAGAAUGCUGUCAGGGUUUGUGUGUCCUACAAUUUGGUUGUAUUGAACAUUGCUUUUAAUAUGCCAUUGCUAUUGGCCUGGGAAUCUUUCGCGGUAAUGGAAUUCAGCUUGUACUUCCUUUAGACUUCUUGAUUAUUCAUGCUAAAUAAAGAAGGCUAUUAAUUAUUCAAUUAAUCCCCCUCUGUGGGAAAAUGCUAUUUGGAUUCUUAUUAUGCAUUUUAGCUACCUAGUUAGACAUAAUUAGCCAAAUAAAUGAUAACUUUCUGUUUCCCAGGAAACUUUUAUGCAUAGUCUUAGUCUCAAGCAUAGAUUUCUAAAUAUACUAUUAUUUACAGCACAACUGCAAAAGUCAGAGUCUGGUAGGGCACUGAUCAUAAAAAGUGAGUGUGCGUGGAGACGCUCUUUAUAGACUAUAAAGGCUGAAAAGUCACCCACCUUUAUUUAUUCCCAGCCUUGGCCAAGCUUCCAUGUUUUUCCACCUACCCAAACAACCAGUAAUGCUACAAUAAUUUAGGAGGUGGUUAUAAAUCAUCUGUAACAUGUCCAAACUUUUGAUUCCUGGGUAAAUACUUGAACUGGGUGUCUGUUGCUCACCAUUUCACAAUGCUCAGGUUCUGCCUCUCUGGGGGCUCUGAUAGUUUCUCCAAGGUGUAAUCUCACCCCUGCACACACCUCUUCUUUCUUGCCUUUGGGUGUGAUGGAGGCUGCCAUGCAGCAUGCAUGGAGCACAUUCUGAUAUUUGUAUCUGUAUGAUCAUAACAUAGGGGUUCGGCCACCAAUUCCCUGGAGAAGACAGUUCUGUGGCAUAUUUCAAAUGGCUUUUCAGAAGAUCUGGGCUGGACAGAGCAUCGUCUGCCUGCCGUGGUGCCCCAGUGGACAACACCUUCUUAAUGCAACCUUCUUUGCUUCCCUGUUCUAUGCCUUUGUCCCAC